AUGCCACAGGCCCGCGGCGACUGGUGGUGGCCCGCUGGAGUUCCCUGUCUGGAAUGGCAACAGUGGGGGCCCGCCGCCUGCGGGUGCGCCCGGAAACAGCCAUUGCGCAGGGUGGCCGUAGGUGGCGAUCGGCGCAGCCGGCGGGAGGCCGUACGCGCCUGCCAUGUACUGGUGGUAUUGGUGCAUGUGGAGCCCUUGGACGGCCGUCACGAGCUGCUGCUGCGUGCUACACCGUGGAUCACAAUCGCAACCUUCUGUUCACCUGUACAAGGGAUGAGCCCCAAAUUCUCACUCAACAGUUUUAUCCAAGGUGGUGGUGCCUCUGUUGCUCAACAUGGACACAUGCAUCUGGCUAGCAUGAGUGCUUCAUUUUUGAAGUUGACUGGCCCAUGUCGCCCGAUUGCGUUCAUCGACCCUGUUGACUUUGAAAUUCAACUAAAAGUGAAGGGCACAACAGAGUGUGAAGAUGAAACACUGAUGGCGCGAUGGUUUGAAUAUGCGCAUGGUUUUGGAGAUUAUGGUGAGCUUGCCUGUCGUCGUUGGGGAGGCAAUUUUUGCACACUAGAGAUCACCUCUGCGCUACUUGCCAGAACGGUUGUAGCAACUAUUAUCUCUGCUGAUAUUAUUGAAGGGUCAUGGCCUGAUGAUUCUAGAGGUCGUGUGGUUGCCCGUACUGCUGCCAUAGAUGAGGACAUUCUGCUGCUUGACUCUGGAGAAGAACCAUUGAAAGUGGAUCCAGACGGUCGCGUUACCCUUCAAAGAGGUGUUGUUUGCGUGGAACGUCAGGGGAUGCUCACGGUUUCUAUGGAAGCCUACUCGAAGGAAGGUAUUUGUUAUGCAGAUUCUGUUGAAUUCAGGCCCAAAAAGUCUCUCACAAGUAUCGGUAUUUGCGACCUUGGAUUCUGCACGGUGCAGUUUAUUGUUGGUUGGUCGCCAAUGGCGACGAAGUCUGAUCUGAUGUACUUUGGCAACUGA
This 975-nucleotide ribosomal RNA is filed under the name Triticum aestivum (bread wheat). RNAcentral's name for it is "partial small subunit ribosomal RNA". Lineage: Eukaryota; Viridiplantae; Streptophyta; Magnoliopsida; Poales; Poaceae. The record is from RNAcentral.